CCCGGGGGGCUGCAGUGAGGAAUAUUGGUCAAUGGGCGGAAGCCUGAACCAGCCAAGUCGCGUGAGGGAAUAAGGCCCUACGGGUCGUAAACCUCUUUUGCCGGGGAGCAAGGGCGGGGACGUGUCCCGGCCCGGAGAGUACCCGGAGAAAAAGCAUCGGCUAACUCCGUGCCAGCAGCCGCGGUAAUACGGAGGAUGCGAGCGUUAUCCGGAUUUAUUGGGGUAAAAGGGUGCGUAGGCGGGCUUUUAAGUCAGCGGUAAAAAUUCGGGGCUCAACCCCGUCCGGCCGUUGAAACUGGGGGCCUUGAGUGGGCGAGAAGAAGGCGGAAUGCGUGGUGUAGCGGUGAAAUGCAUAGAUAUCACGCAGAACCCCGAUUGCGAAGGCAGCCUGCCGGCGCCCUACUGACGCUGAGGCACGAAAGUGCGGGGAUCGAACAGGAUUAGAUACCCCAGUAGUC
Molecule: ribosomal RNA, 458 nt
Filed under: uncultured bacterium
Lineage: Bacteria
Description: partial 16S ribosomal RNA
Rfam family: Bacterial small subunit ribosomal RNA
Source: RNAcentral